RNAcentral lists this transfer RNA (74 nucleotides) under Deltaproteobacteria bacterium. Its description in RNAcentral is "tRNA-Gln". It matches the Rfam family "tRNA". From Rfam's summary of the family: Transfer RNA (tRNA) molecules are approximately 80 nucleotides in length. The record is from RNAcentral. RNAcentral also lists the same sequence under 1 other name. Lineage: Bacteria; Pseudomonadati; Myxococcota; Myxococcia.
UGGGGGAUCGUUCAACGGUAGGACAGCGGACUCUGACUCCGUCAAUCUAGGUUCAAAUCCUAGUCCCCCAGCCA